AGUUUACAAGCACUGAGAAAGGAGAAAUCCCGAGAUGCUGCUCGCUCCCGCCGGGGGAAGGAAAAUUUUGAGUUCUAUGAAUUGGCCAAGUUGUUGCCUCUUCCUGCAGCCAUCACCAGCCAGCUUGACAAGGCGUCCAUCAUUCGACUGACAAUUAGCUAUCUGAAAAUGAGGGACUUUGCUAAUCAGGGGGACCCUCCGUGGAACUUGCGAAUGGAAGGCCCUCCACCCAACACAUCAGUAAAAGGUAAGUUUUAGGUCACAGUUCAGUAUGGC
Molecule: long non-coding RNA, 276 nt
Filed under: Marmota monax (woodchuck)
Lineage: Eukaryota; Metazoa; Chordata; Mammalia; Rodentia; Sciuridae
Source: RNAcentral